GCCUGGGUGGCUCAGUCGGUUAAGCGUCUGACUUCGGCUCAGGUCAUGAUAUCACGGUCCGUGGGUUUGAGCCCCGCAUUCGGGCU
Felis catus (domestic cat) is the source of this 86-nucleotide non-coding RNA. The record is from Rfam. Lineage: Eukaryota; Metazoa; Chordata; Mammalia; Carnivora; Felidae.